GCCUGGCUUCUGCUGGGAUCCAGGAUGGCUCCUGCUUUCAACAGCACAGCCGGCUCUCUUCCCCUGUGUUCUGAGUUCCGUAGACCAGCUGCUGGCUGAAAUAUCGAUACCCCUUCCACGGUGUUCCAGGAGAGGCGCUGGAGAGGGCGUGAGACGUUUCUCUGACAGCAAAGAAUGGAGACUGAGAAGCAAGAAAGGGUCAGCAGAAGGGGACAGCACCAGGUGCAGUGAAGGCUCUGACUGCUGGAAAGAGAAAAAAACACAAAAAAAUUAAUGGACCAGUGUCACUCAAGGAUUCACAGGCAACAAACAUGAGCUAUCUGUUCCUGUUUAGUAUCUCUGCAUCUUCCUGAAGGCUGAGUUUUACUAUUUGACUCCUUCUAUCCCUUUAAAUAGCAGGCUGCA
Balaenoptera musculus (blue whale) is the source of this 405-nucleotide long non-coding RNA. RefSeq lists it as uncharacterized. The record is from RefSeq and is a predicted model, not a curated record. The transcript is spliced from 3 exons. NCBI's taxonomy places the organism in Eukaryota, Metazoa, Chordata, Mammalia, Artiodactyla, Balaenopteridae.